AUUGAACGCUGGCGGCAGGCCUAACACAUGCAAGUCGAACGGUAACAGGGUUCAGCUUGCUGAUUCGCUGUCGCGUGGCGGACGGGUGAGUGAUGUCUGGGAAACUGUCUGAUGGCGGGGGAUAACUACUGGAAAGGGUAACUCAUACCGCGCAACGUCGCUAGACCAAAGAGGGGGGCAUUUGGGCCCCUUGCGAUAGGGUGUGCCCAGGUGGGAUUAGCUAGUGGGUGGGGUAACGGCUCACCUAGGCGACGAUCCCUAGCUGGUCUGAGAGGAUGAUCAGCCACACUGGAACUGAGACACGGUCCAGACUCCUACGGGAGGCAGCAGUGGGGAAUAUUGGACAAUGGGCGCAAGCCUGAUGCAGCCAUGCCGCGUGUGUGAAGAAGGCCUUCGGGUUGUAAAGACCUUUCAGCGGGAAAGAACCGAUUAAGGUUAAUACCUAGCCUCAGUGACGGUACCCGCAGAAGAAGCACCGGCUAACUCCGUG
This 490-nucleotide ribosomal RNA is filed under the name uncultured bacterium. RNAcentral's name for it is "partial 16S ribosomal RNA". It matches the Rfam family "Bacterial small subunit ribosomal RNA", at positions 30 to 507 of the family's 1533-position model. The record is from RNAcentral.